Molecule: ribosomal RNA, 476 nt
Filed under: uncultured bacterium
Lineage: Bacteria
Description: partial 16S ribosomal RNA
Rfam family: Bacterial small subunit ribosomal RNA
Source: RNAcentral
AAUGAACGUUGGCGGCGUGGAUUAGGCAUGCAAGUCGAGCGGGUGUAGCAAUACACCAGCGGCGAAAGGGAGAGUAAUACGUGGAUACCUACCCCCGGAUCUGGGAUAGCCUCGGGAAACUGAGGGUAAUACCAGAUAAUGUCUCCGGACCAAAGGUGUGAUUCCGUCCGAGGAGGGGUCCGCGGCCUAUUAGCUAGUUGGUGGGGUAACGGCCUACCAAGGCGAAGAUGGGUACGAGGCGUGAGAGCGUGUCCUCGCGCAUUGGGACUGAGACACUGCCCAGACACCUACGGGUGGCUGCAGUCGAGAAUCGUCGGCAAUGGGCGCAAGCCUGACCGAGCGACGCCGCGUGCGGGAUGAAGGCCUUCGGGUUGUAAACCGCUGUCAGUAGGGAGGAAAGGUUUGGGGGUUCUCCCCCAGAUUUGACCUAUCUGCAGAGGAAGGACGGGCUAAGUUCGUGCCAGCCGCCGCGGUAA